GGGAAACAGCUGAGGCUACAAUGUCAGCUCACAGGGGGACACCCCUGCUGAUGAGGGCCAAGAAACACGACUUCCACCACUUCUGGGGGGCUUCGAGAUGAGAAGCAGUCACCUAUGCAGAAAAAACAGUACCAAUGUGCCUCAGCUGAUGGAAAUUUCUAUUUGCAAUGAAAAUCAACUUUGGUAAGCGUCACAGCAAGGGACAUUUUUUCCUGACUGUCCCAAGAUUGAUCUGGUCCAUAGGAUGCCCCAGAUCAUUGCAUUCGAGACUGAAGGGAGAAAUUCCCAUCUUACAGAUGGACAAAUGAGGCCCAGAGAUGUUAAAGGUGCUUCAUCCACAGUACCUCCCAGUAGACCAGGCUCCUCCUGCUUUUGAGAAUUUCAUGCGACUUCCUUCAGGGUUUCAAGAAUCGUCUUUCCCCCCGGUUUAGACCUCUGAGGACUGUGGCCACGAGAGGGCGGUAGAGGGAGUUUAUCAGAAUACUUGACCGUGUUGAGUAAAUUCGCGUGGGCUCUAGUCGCGAGCAGGGACUACGCCGAUCCUGCGAACUCGCUGGGGUCUAGCCUGCAGGCCUCUUUUGGAAAGCCGCGUCCAAAGGCUGCGGUGGCACGAAGACUCUAUAUGGCACGGAAUCAAUGGUCGUAAAGGCACCGAGGCAAUGCCACCUGGAAUCCAGAAACCUCUCACCUUAGGUCAUUAAAAUAAGUUACCUUACCGCCACCUCUCUGGGUCGUGCCAGGCCGCCUCCCUGGGUCUGGUUGCAGAAAGCUCCCCUCC
Molecule: non-coding RNA, 778 nt
Organism: Manis javanica (Malayan pangolin)
Lineage: Eukaryota; Metazoa; Chordata; Mammalia; Pholidota; Manidae
Source: RefSeq, a predicted model, not a curated record